Molecule: non-coding RNA, 574 nt
Organism: Paramuricea clavata
Lineage: Eukaryota; Metazoa; Cnidaria; Anthozoa; Malacalcyonacea; Plexauridae
Source: the annotation of a GenBank genome assembly
UUUCAGCCACUUUUUCGAUUUUUGAAAAAGAGGUGAAAAUCGGCAAAAAAGUAAGGCCUUUCUUUCUUUAUCUGUUUCUCUGUCUGUUUUUUCUUUCUUUAUCUGUUUGUCUGUCUGUUUUUUCUUUCUUUAUCUGUUUGUCUGUCUGUUUUUCUUUCUUUAUCUGUUUCUCUGUCUGUUUUUUCUUUCUUUAUCUGUUUCUCUGUCUGUUUUUUCUUUCUUUAUUUGUUUGUCUGUCUGUUUUUUCUUUCUUUAUCUGUUUGUCUGUCUGUUUUUUCUUUCUUUAUCUGUUUCUCUGUCUGUUUUUUCUUUCUUUAUCUGUUUGUCUGUCUGUUUUUUCUUUCUUUAUCUGUUUGUCUGUCUGUUUUUUCUUUCUUUAUCUGUUUGUCUGUCUGUUUUUUCUUUCUUUAUCUGUUUGUCUGUCUGUUUUUUCUUUCUUUAUCUAUUUGUCUCUCUGUUUUUUCCUUCUUUUAUCUGUUUCUCUGUCUGUUUUUUCUUUCUUUAUCUGUUUGUCUGUCUGUUUUUUCUUUCUUUAUCUAUUUGUCUCUCUGUUUUUUCUUUCUUUAUCUGUUUG